CCCUUAGAUGUUCUGGGCCGCACGCGCGCUACACUGAUGCAUUCAACGAGUCUAAAACCUGGUCUGAUGGGGCUGGGUAAUCUUUUGAAUGUGCAUCGUGAUUGGGAUAGAUGAUUGCAAUUCUUCAUCUUCAACGAGGAAUGCCUAGUAAACGCAAGUCAUCAGCUUGCAUUGAUUACGUCCCUGCCCUUUGUACACACCGCCCGUCGCUCCUACCGAUUGAAUGUUCCGAUGAAUACCAUGGACUGAGAGUAUGAAUGGGUUCGCCUAUUUCUGCUUCUCGGGAAGUGGAGUAAAUCUUAACAUUUAGAGGAAGGAGAAGUCGUAACA
Molecule: ribosomal RNA, 330 nt
Filed under: uncultured eukaryote
Lineage: Eukaryota
Description: partial 18S ribosomal RNA
Rfam family: Eukaryotic small subunit ribosomal RNA
Source: RNAcentral